Molecule: ribosomal RNA, 253 nt
Filed under: uncultured bacterium
Lineage: Bacteria
Description: partial 16S ribosomal RNA
Rfam family: Bacterial small subunit ribosomal RNA
Source: RNAcentral
UACGUAGGUGGCAAGCGUUGUCCGGAAUUAUUGGGCGUAAAGCGCGCGCAGGUGGUUUCUUAAGUCUGAUGUGAAAGCCCACGGCUCAACCGUGGAGGGUCAUUGGAAACUGGGGAACUUGAGUGCAGAAGAGGAAAGUGGAAUUCCAAGUGUAGCGGUGAAAUGCGUAGAUAUCGGGAGGAACACCAGUGGCGAAGGCGACUACCUGGCCUGUUCUUGACGCUGAGGCGCGAAAGCUAGGGGAGCAAACGGG